UGGGGAAUAUUGCACAAUGGAGGGAACUCUGAUGCAGCAACGCCGCGUGCGGGAUGACGGCCUUCGGGUUGUAAACCGCUUUCAGCCAUGACGAAGCUUUUGUGACGGUAGUGGUAGAAGAAGCACCGGCUAACUACGUGCCAGCAGCCGCGGUGAUACGUAGGGUGCGAGCGUUGUCCGGAAUUAUUGGGCGUAAAGAGCUUGUAGGCGGUUUGUCGCGUCGAAAGUGUAAACUCAGUGCUUAACGCUGAGCCUGCUUUCGAUACGGGCUGACUAGAGGAGGGUAGGGGAGAAUGGAAUUCCCGGUGGAGCGGUGGAAUGCGCAGAUAUCGGGAGGAACACCAGUGGCGAAGGCGGUUCUCUGGACCUUUCCUGACGCUGAGAAGCGAAAGCGUGGGUAGCAAACAGG
RNAcentral lists this ribosomal RNA (409 nucleotides) under Fusobacteriota bacterium. RNAcentral's name for it is "Fusobacteria bacterium partial 16S ribosomal RNA". It matches the Rfam family "Bacterial small subunit ribosomal RNA", at positions 355 to 776 of the family's 1533-position model. Lineage: Bacteria; Fusobacteriati; Fusobacteriota. The record is from RNAcentral.